AUUGAACGCUGGCGGCAUGCUUUACACAUGCAAGUCGAACGGUAACAGGUUAAGCUGACGAGUGGCGAACGGGUGAGUAAUGCAUCGGAACGUGCCCGGUCGUGGGGGAUAACGUAGCGAAAGUUGCGCUAAUACCGCAUACGAUCUGAGGAUGAAAGCGGGGGACCGUAAGGCCUCGCGCGAUCGGAGCGGCCGAUGUCAGAUUAGGUAGUUGGUGGGGUAAAGGCUCACCAAGCCAACGAUCUGUAGCUGGUCUGAGAGGACGACCAGCCACACUGGGACUGAGACACGGCCCAGACUCCUACGGGAGGCAGCAGUGGGGAAUUUUGGACAAUGGGCGAAAGCCUGAUCCAGCAAUGCCGCGUGCAGGAAGAAGGCCUUCGGGUUGUAAACUGCUUUUGUACGGAGCGAAAAGGUCUCCUCUAAUACAGGGGGCUCAUGACGGUACCGUAAGAAUAAGCACCGGCUAACUACGUGCCAGCAGCCGCCGUAA
Molecule: ribosomal RNA, 493 nt
Filed under: uncultured bacterium
Lineage: Bacteria
Description: partial 16S ribosomal RNA
Rfam family: Bacterial small subunit ribosomal RNA
Source: RNAcentral